UACGGAGGGUGCGAGCGUUGUCCGGAAUCAGCUAGGGCGUAAAGGCGCGUAGGCGGCCUGAUAAGUGAGGGGGUGAAAUCCUGCGGCUUAACCGCAGGGCUGCCUUCUAAACUGUCAGGCUCGAGCACAGUAGAGGCAGGUGGAAUUCCCGGUGGUAGCGAUGGAAUGCGUAGAGAUCGGGAAGAACAGUCAGUGGCGAAGGCGGCCUGCUGGGCUGUUGCUGACGGCUGAGGCGCGACAGCGUGGGGAGCAAACAGG
RNAcentral lists this ribosomal RNA (258 nucleotides) under uncultured bacterium. RNAcentral describes it as "partial 16S ribosomal RNA". It matches the Rfam family "Bacterial small subunit ribosomal RNA", at positions 524 to 776 of the family's 1533-position model. The record is from RNAcentral.